GCUCAGUUGGUAAAAUUAAAAUACAAGGCUUUUAAACUUGUGGUCGUGGGUUCGAGCCCCACGGUGGGCC
Molecule: transfer RNA, 70 nt
Filed under: Zea mays
Lineage: Eukaryota; Viridiplantae; Streptophyta; Magnoliopsida; Poales; Poaceae
Rfam family: tRNA
About the family: Transfer RNA (tRNA) molecules are approximately 80 nucleotides in length. Their secondary structure includes four short double-helical elements and three loops (D, anti-codon, and T loops).
Source: Rfam by way of RNAcentral